Molecule: long non-coding RNA, 329 nt
Organism: Pieris napi
Lineage: Eukaryota; Metazoa; Arthropoda; Insecta; Lepidoptera; Pieridae
Exons: 2
Source: RefSeq, a predicted model, not a curated record
AUAUAAUUAACCCUGGAAAGAUAGUCUGCGUAAAAUUUACGCAUGCGUUUUCGAAUAAUUGCUCUAUCUUUCUAAUUAGCGCGAAUCCAUAGCUGUGCGUUUAGGACAUCUCAUUCGUCGUUGGGAGCUGCCGCGUGACGUAAGUGUCAAUAAGAUAUUGAGGCAAAUAUAUAUCACAAUGGGGAGUAUCAAUUGAAACCAACACGAAAUCCUGGCCGCUCUUAUGCAAAGUGAUGACGAGCUUCCGUGUGAGGACACCGACAGUGAAGUAGCGGACCACGUUUAAAGUUUUCUUUUUUUUUAAGUAAAAAUAAAGGAGUUUAAAAAAU